Molecule: ribosomal RNA, 485 nt
Filed under: uncultured bacterium
Lineage: Bacteria
Description: partial 16S ribosomal RNA
Rfam family: Bacterial small subunit ribosomal RNA
Source: RNAcentral
AUUGAACGCUGGCGGCAGGCUUAACACAUGCAAGUCGAGCGGGGGAAGGUAGCUUGCUCCCGGACCUAGCGGCGGACGGGUGAGUAAUGCUUAGGAAUCUGCCUAUUAGUGGGGGACAACAUCUCGAAAGGGAUGCUAAUACCGCAUACGUCCUACGGGAGAAAGCAGGGGAUCUUCGGACCUUGCGCUAAUAGAUGAGCCUAAGUCGGAUUAGCUAGUUGGUGGGGUAAAGGCCUACCAAGGCGACGAUCUGUAGCGGGUCUGAGAGGAUGAUCCGCCACACUGGGACUGAGACACGGCCCAGACUCCUACGGGAGGCAGCAGUGGGGAAUAUUGGACAAUGGGGGGAACCCUGAACCAGCCAUGCCGCGUGUGUGAAGAAGGCCUUAUGGUUGUAAAGCACUUUAAGCGAGGAGGAGGCUACUUUAGUUAAUACCUAGAGAUAGUGGACGUUACUCGCAGAAUAAGCACCGGCUAACUCUGUG